AAAUGUCGAUGAUGAUUGUGAUUGGUGGUAAUGAUGAUAACUGAUGAUAACGAUGAUCUUCAUCAUCACAAUCUCGUAUUCACUCAUG
Molecule: non-coding RNA, 88 nt
Organism: Brugia malayi
Lineage: Eukaryota; Metazoa; Nematoda; Chromadorea; Rhabditida; Onchocercidae
Source: RefSeq, a predicted model, not a curated record